Molecule: ribosomal RNA, 460 nt
Filed under: uncultured bacterium
Lineage: Bacteria
Description: partial 16S ribosomal RNA
Rfam family: Bacterial small subunit ribosomal RNA
Source: RNAcentral
CCUACGGGUGGCAGCAGUGAGGAAUAUUGGUCAAUGGACGAGAGUCUGAACCAGCCAAGUAGGGUGAAGGAUGACUGCCCUAUGGGUUGUAAACUUCUUUUAUAUGGGAAUAAAAUGUUCCACGUGUGGGAUUUUGUAUGUACCAUAUGAAUAAGGAUCGGCUAACUCCGUGCCAGCAGCCGCGGUAAUACGGAGGAUCCGAGCGUUAUCCGGAUUUAUUGGGUUUAAAGGGAGCGUAGGUGGAUUGUUAAGUCAGUUGUGAAAGUUUGCGGCUCAACCGUAAAAUUGCAGUUGAAACUGGCAGUCUUGAGUACAGUAGAGGUGGGCGGAAUGCGUGGUGUAGCGGUGAAAUGCUUAGAUAUCACGAAGAACUCCGAUUGCGAAGGCAGUUCACUGGACUGCAACUGACACUGAGGCUCGAAAGUGUGGGUAUCAAACAGGAUUAGAUACCCGGGUAGUC